GCGUUUCGGGUCUGUGGUUGAAAAUCCAGGCCAGGCACGGGCGAAAGGAUCCACGUAAGCAGCGAGAAGAGCUUGCUGUGAGCAUGGCGUGCUUUAGAAGUAAGUCCUCCGAAAAUCGGGUUAAGGCAAGUGUGGGGGCAAAGACCAGGUCAGCCGAAAAUGC
RNAcentral lists this non-coding RNA (163 nucleotides) under unclassified sequences. RNAcentral's name for it is "raiA RNA". It matches the Rfam family "raiA RNA". The record is from Rfam by way of RNAcentral.